AGUAACGCGUGAGGAACCUGCCUCAAAGAGGGGGACAACAGUUGGAAACGACUGCUAAUACCGCAUAAGCCCACGGCUCGGCAUCGAGCAGAGGGAAAAGGAGUGAUCCACUUUGAGAUGGCCUCGCGUCCGAUUAGCUAGUUGGUGAGGUAACGGCCCACCAAGGCGACGAUCGGUAGCCGGACUGAGAGGUUGAACGGCCACACUGGGACUGAGACACGGCCCAG
This 227-nucleotide ribosomal RNA is filed under the name uncultured bacterium. RNAcentral's name for it is "partial 16S ribosomal RNA". It matches the Rfam family "Bacterial small subunit ribosomal RNA", at positions 109 to 334 of the family's 1533-position model. The record is from RNAcentral.